UAAAAAUAUAAAAAAAAUAAAAAAUUAUUGUAUAUGCAUCUGUCGUGCAUGGUCAUUUGUAAUAAAGUAGGUGAGCGGGAGAGCAUAUCAAUUAGAGCGAGUGAGAAUGAUGGCCAGGCCACAAUAUUGGAGAUAAAAGAGCUGCAUGCAGUUAACAGAGACGCAGCAGCACAACGUCAGCGUUUGAAUUAACUAUAUGUAAAAAAGGACGAAAGCGGUAUUACUCAUUUGCAACAGCAUUAUGUUGUUAUAUGCGUUGCAUUAAGCUUUCUCUCUGCAGCAGCAGCAGCAGCAAUCUUAGAGGAAUGGAAGGAGAAGGAGAAACAUGCAUUUAAGGUGCAUAUUUUUAUAGGGCUUCAAAAUCAGUUAUUUGCCGUGUGUUCUUUUUGUAAUUGGGUUGAUUUUUAUAUUUGGACGGUUUCACUCAUGCAUCAAGUCGCAGGGGAUAGGCCGAUAUUUCAAUAGAGUCCAUGCCAUCCAUAAACGGCAAUCGCGCCUUAUUUUAACGCAUUUGAGCCUACAUCCCGAAUUGAGUAGCUCUGCGUGCAACUACAUGUGAUUUGAGUGAGUUUGAGUGAAAUUAAAAUGCGCGGUGGUGCUGAGGUAGGAUUGCAAAUAAACGUGAGCACGUUGCUUGGUAGGAGAAAUGCCGAAAAAUUAAAAAAAAAGUAAGAG
Molecule: long non-coding RNA, 675 nt
Organism: Teleopsis dalmanni
Lineage: Eukaryota; Metazoa; Arthropoda; Insecta; Diptera; Diopsidae
Exons: 3
Source: RefSeq, a predicted model, not a curated record